GUUCAGAGUACGUGAAACCGUUCAGGGGUAAACCUGAGAAACCCAAAAGAUCGAACGGGGAGAUUCAUCGUCAGCGGCGCCGGCUUCCGUGCUGUUCGCGAUGCUCUCGGGGCUCCGGCCCCUUGGCACGCGGCUGCUGCGGCAUGCCCGGCGUCGUCGGCGUGCACUUCUCCUUUAGUAGGACGUCGCGACCCGUUGGGUGUCGGUCUACGGCCCGGGUGGUCGCCUGGCGUCGCGCGCUUCGCGGCGCGCGCGUCAGACCCCCGGCUGCCCGACCGGCUGCCCGGCGGUAUUCGCACGGUAUCGAGCCGCGGCAAUUUAAUCGGCAAGCGCGGCCAGUGAUACCCGGAGGCGCGGACCUGGUGCCGUCCCCGGGCCUGGCCAGCUGUUGGUCGUGCCGCGGAGGCCGCGCGGUGCAAAGACCGCGCGGUGCUUGUACCGGUCGGCGACGCUACUGCUUUGGGUACUUUCAGGACCCGUCUUGAAACACGGACCAAGGAGUCUAACAUGUGCGCGAGUCAUUGGGACUUCGAGAAGCCUAAAGGCGCAAUGAAAGUGAAGGUCGGCCUCGCGCCGACCGCGGGAGGAUGGGUCGCGUCACGAUGCGACCCCGCACUCCCGGGGCGUCUCGUACUCAUUGCGAGUUGAGGCGCACCCAGAGCGUACACGUUGGGACCCGAAAGUGGGG
RNAcentral lists this ribosomal RNA (688 nucleotides) under Idiotypa maritima. Its description in RNAcentral is "partial large subunit ribosomal RNA". It matches the Rfam family "Eukaryotic large subunit ribosomal RNA", at positions 386 to 827 of the family's 3401-position model. Lineage: Eukaryota; Metazoa; Arthropoda; Insecta; Hymenoptera; Diapriidae. The record is from RNAcentral.